RNAcentral lists this long non-coding RNA (479 nucleotides) under Homo sapiens (human). RNAcentral describes it as "HSALNT0367436". The record is from RNAcentral. Lineage: Eukaryota; Metazoa; Chordata; Mammalia; Primates; Hominidae.
CUGCCACCUUGUGAAGAAGGAUGUUUUUGCUUCCCCUUCUGCCAUGAUUCUUCAGUUUGUCAGAACCAGUUGGGAUGCAACAGGAUUUUCAGUUUUGCUGCCUUCCAUGCAUGAAUGGCUGUUGGAAUGACCAAGAUGAUUUUUCCACCCAUUCUUGGGACCUGGACUAUGAUGGCCACAGCAGCUAAAGAUGCCAGGUUCUGCAUACUAUGAAACUACUACAUCAGCAGGUCCAAAGGACUCCACUGACUCAACUGAUCUGAGGGACCCCAUGAGAAGCCUACUCAUCAAAGAAUGCAGUUUCUAAAUCCUGAUGAGUUCACCCCCCUUGCCCUGACCAAUCAACAAUCCUAAUUCUCCAGUCCCUUGCCCUCCAUGAUCCUCUUAAAAACCCUAGCCCAGAAUUCCUCAGGAAGAUGGAUUUGAGGGUCUCCUUCCAACUCCUCACUCAGCGCCCUGUGGUCAUUAAACUUUCUCUG